Mirounga angustirostris (Northern elephant seal) is the source of this 5660-nucleotide RNA transcript. It is a transcript of the gene named G protein-coupled receptor 45, with no coding region annotated. The record is from RefSeq and is a predicted model, not a curated record. Lineage: Eukaryota; Metazoa; Chordata; Mammalia; Carnivora; Phocidae. The transcript has 2 exons.
AACAGGUGAGAUGUGGGUCCCACCCGGAAAGGGUUCAAGGUCCUGGCAUUCUCUACUCCCACCUUGCGUCUUUGGGCGCUUCACCGUCCAGGUCUCAGUUUUGCUCUUCAUAAAAUGGUUGGACGUCAGGAGGAGAGGUGCGUGGACGGCAUGGGGGUCCGUGGGAGCGCCUCCAGAGUUGUACAAGUGAGGCAGAGUCUGGCAUUUUCCUGCGAUGGCUCGGGGCCGCGGGGGUGGAUGGAGAGGAUCAUGAUUGGGAAGAGGGAACACACACGCACACACACGCACACGCACACACAGACACGCGGGCGCGCGCGCGCGUCUCCCUUCCUCUUCCUCCCCCCCCCCCGAGGGGCGGUACCCCGGUCCCUUGGGGGAGGUUUUCGGGCGGAGGACCGGGGAGGACGGCGCCCCGGAGGGCGGCGGGCCGCGGGGGAGCAGGAGCGGGGUCCGGGCCGCUGCAGCCGGGGGCCCCUCCCCGCCGUCCCCUCCCCGCCGUCCCCUCCCCCUCGCCUCCUCCGGGUCCCCGGCAGCGGCGUCUGGAGGAGCAGCCGGCGGCGCAGCGGCCGCGCAGCCUUUGUCUCGGGACCGCGGGGCGGCGGGGCCCAGCGCUGGCAGGCCACGCGGGAACGGAGGAGGAGAAACGGGAGAGGAGCCGGCGAGCGUCACCAUCAUUACCAUCACCAUCACCACCACCGUCACCACCAUCACCAUCUCCAUCUCUGCCCGUCGCCCAUCCCAGCGGCCCCCGACCUCCCCUCCCCUCUCAUUUCCCCGGGUAUCGUCAACUUUAUCAGAGUAUUUCCUUUUCCUGGGUGAUACUUUGAAACCUCGACAGAGUGCCCCAAAUUAGGAAUAAGUACCUGUGCGGUGGGGCAUUCGGUCCUCUUUCCUUUGCCAGUUAGCUACCUCGGCUUUCCCAUCAGGAAAAGGACCACGGUGGUGCUCCCUUGCCCACAGGCAGCCUUCGAUGGCUGGCAAGCUUUCAGUUUUUCUACUCUGGUGUUGGAAAGGGUUUUGUAUAUUAAAAAAAAUUUUUUUCUCUCACUUGGGAAUAAUGAUGAUCGUGAUGGUAAAGUAAUAUCUUCACUAAAUUCAAGAGUUUUAAAUUCUUCUCUCCUUUGAUUUGUGACUGUCAGAAUACCAGUAGCAAAGAGAGGCAUAAAGAAAAUGAAACUUUGACUAAAAUACCAAGAACAGACGCUAAACAGGUACGUUUGAAGAAAAAUCAUCCCAGAGGACUGAGGGCAAUGACUUUUGUCUAAAGUGUAGAAAGUGCUCUUUUAGUGCUUAGUGGCUGUAGAUGUCAUUAUUUUUGGAUACAUGUUGCAUCCCCUGGGUGCUUUUCACCCUACCUGAAGAGUGUUUUAAUUGUUGGUGUUUCAAAACUGGCAUUUACCUGCUCCAAAGGACUGCUGAGCAGUCAGAGCACAGAUCAGCCGAGCCGGAGGGGCUGUUAGGAAGCCCAGCAUGACAAAGCACAGAGAUCUUCUUAUGAAAAGUAACUUGCAGAACACAAGAUCCUAAACGCUCUGCAUUUUUGCCUAUGAGUUAGAAGUUGAAUCUCGAAAUUUCCAUGUUUUAUGGUCUAGUCUAAGAAAGACAACUAGACAAUCCUAAAGGGCUUGACAUGCUUGGAACUGUCAGUACUACGGCAACGUUCCUUUGAAACAGGGUAAUGAACCCCAUGGUAUGGUUUGCCAUGUGUCCUGUUCCUACUCGGAGAAAAAGUGAUAAUAUUGAAAAUAAUGUGGACCCAGUUGAGCUGCAGUUGUCAUUGCCCAAAUUAAGAUACCUCAAAUGUUGAAAUAUAAUCAUGUAUCAUUAACUCAAACCUCUCUAAGUUGUGAAAUGGAUUUUUUUUAAGUUUUAUUUAUUUAUUUGAGAGAGAGAGGGAGGUGGGGAACAUCAGAGGGAGAGAGAGAGAGUCCUAAGCAGACUCCAGGCUGAGCUCAGAACCCAAUUGGGGGCUCGAUGUGGAACUUGAUGUGGGGCUCAAUCUCAUGACCCUGAGAUCACCACCCUGAGCAUGACCUGAGCAGAAACCAAGAUUUGGGUACUCAACCGACUGCACCACCCAGGUGCCCCUGUGAAAUGGGGUUUUUAAAGAGUAGAUGUGAUUCUGGGGAGAAUGACUUUGAAAUCAUCUCUUUCCCUAAAAAUAUUUUAGGGGCCCAAAUUUAAGUAAGGUGUAGUCAAUCUAAAGCAAUUACAUUUUUAGAACAGACUUAAGGAAGGGGCGCCUGGGUGGCUCAGUGGGUUAAGUGACCAACUCUUGAUUUCAGCUCAGGUCAUGAUGUGGGGCUUGUGGGAUCAAGUCCCCCAUGGGGCUCUGCACUGGGCAUGGAGCCUGCCUGGGAUUCUCUCUCUCCCUUUCUCCCUGGUCUUCCCCACCCCUCUCUCUCCCCCUCUCUAAAAAAACAAAACAAAACAAAAACAAACAAACAAAGCACCUCACCAUGUUUCUGUUCUGGAUCUUUGGGGAAUAAUUAGCAUCUUUAGGAACUUCUGUGCCUUGGGUUGUUACUGAAUUCUUGUGUUAUAUCCCACAUGAAUUGUUUUAAUUCAUACGAAUUUUUAUAUCCCCAUAUGAAUUAUUAAAAUUCUUAAAAUUUAAUAAAUUAAAUUCACAAUUUAAAAAUCAUUUAAUUUCAAAAAUAAUUCAUUACUUUUAUUGAAGUAUGCUUUACAUAUGUAAAAUGCACCACUCUUCAGUGUAUAGCUUGAUGAAUUUUUAUGUUUGUAUACCCUCAUAUUACCGCCACCCAGAACAAAGUACAAAAUAUUUCCAUCAUCCUCGAGUGUUCACCCCCGCCCAUCCCAGACAUAGUACUCCUCUGACUGCUCUCCUCUGACUGCUCUCAACUGAUUUCUUUUACGUUUCUCCCUGUUAAAUCUGGUUGGCUUAUUCCUUCAGCAAAUAUGACCAAGUCCAGGGCCUGGGCCCAGCACGACACAGACGUGAGCCUUCCCCUGGAGAGCAAAUAAGGCCAAUAAUUAAACAAGCAAGGGUAAUACUGUCUAUGCAGAUACAAAAGGUCAUAGGAACUCAAGGCAAGCCAUAUUCCAGUUUUGGGGGAUGUUUUGUUUUGUUUUUAUGAGAGGGGAAGCGAAGGCUUUUUGGAAGAUGAGAAUGUUUCUGUUGGGAUCUGAGAAAUGAGUAGAAGGUAGUCAACUAACACAUGCAGGGGGAAGGAAAGGAAAGAUUCUUCCAGGUAGAAGGAAUAUCAUGAGCCAUGGUUCAGAAAUGAGAGCACAUGGAGUGUUCUAGGAACACAAAUAAGUCAGGGAGGACGGAAGUACAGGGCUGGGGAGAAGCACAUGAGAUAGAGCUGGAGAAGCCGUAGGGUCCCAGCCAGAAAGACUAAGGCCAUGAGGAGGGUGGGGCUUUGCUCUAAGGGCAAGGAGAGUCUCUGGACAGGCUUUAGUCACAAGUGCACAGAAUGAGAUCCGAUCUCUCAGCCGACUAUGUAGUAUGAGAUUAUAGGAGGGACUGGAUGGGAGGCUGUCACCGGCAUCUACGUGAGAGGCUAGGGUGGCUUUGAUGAGGCAGUGGCAAUGGGAAUGGUGCGGGGGAAUGGAUGGACCUGAAAGAGAUUUAGAAAGUGAAAUCAGCACAACUUGGUGUCUGACGUGCAAGGAUUCAAGGAGGACGCAUUGAUUUUUUAGAUCUUACAGAAUGGGUGGAUGAUGGUACCACUGGAAAUUUGGGGAGCGAAUCUAGUUUGUAUAAUACCCUUCUUUGAAGUAUUUCUUUCCAAAUACAUUUAGUGUCAGUUGCCAGCUAGCCAAUGGGACAUUUAGGUAGAAAUAUCUACUAGGAAGUCGUAACAGGUAAUUAUGGGACACAUUCUAUAUGCCAGACACUCUCUGGACACUGUGAACAAGACAAUGCGCUGUGCCCUUGUGAAGCUCACAUUGUAUCAGGCUGGAGCUGCAGCCCGGGGUCUACCAGAUAUACGUAGUUAACUAAAGGCUUCAGAGUGAACGAGGUUGCUCAGGAAGAUUUCAGUGAAAGGACAGAGAAGUCUAGCAUAGCAUCCCAAGGAACACUAGUAUUCUAACAUGGAGAAGAGGAGAGAUGGCUGGGAAAGCAAGAGAAGUGUGGCAUUCAGAGGUCUGGGGAAUGGUCCCCAGUGUCAUACACUGCUGAAAAGUAAGAUAAGGACUAGAGGUGUUCUGUUGUGGUGCUUCUCAAAGUGGGGUCCCCAGACUAACCACAGCAGCAGCAUUACCCAGGAAUUUAAAAAGACACUUUUUUAAAAAAAAGAUUUUAUUUAUUUAUUUGACAGAGAGAGAUACAGCAAGAGAAGGAACACAAGCAGGGGGAGUGGGAGAGGGAGAAGCAGGCUUCCCGCGGAGCAGGGAGCCCGAUGUGGGGCUCAAUCCCAGGACCCUGGGAUCAUGACCUGAGCCACACGUAGACGCUUAACCGACUGCGCCACCCAGUCACCCCUAGAACGACACAUUCUGGAGUUCCACCCCGGACCUACUGAAUCUGAAACUCUGAGAGUGGGUCCCAGCCAGCUGUGUUUUAACCAGCCUUCUAGGUGAUUCUGAUAUAAACUGAGGUUUGAGAACCAUUGCUCUACUGCAUUCAUUGAUAAGGAAGUCAUCGGUGACGGGAAAGAGUGACAAAAACAAUUUCAUUGAAGUUACAGCUGUUUGGGAUAAAUUCAAAAAAUUUUAACAGGAGUGUUCAAGUUUUGUUUUAUUUUUUAUUUGGAAAUUUCCAGUGUUUUAUUUAUUUUUUUGCAGGGUUGAUUUUUUUCUUUCUUUUAUAUACUAGUUGAUAAUAGAUUCCUAUUUUGUCUCACUCUGUUCUACAUGAUUUUUGGAGUUCUAUUUUUAUCUGCUUUGAGACACAUCCCUUUAUGGGCUCUCAAUAUGUUAGGCCACCUGCGUCAUUGAUCAUUGAUUUGCUGUCCUCAACUCUGAAAUGGAGGAAUUAAAAUUCCAAAAUAGAGUGCAAUCAUGAAUAUAAGUGAGUCUUGACUCUGAAUGGCAGCUGAGAAAAUACGUAGAUGCUUGAAUUAGUUCUUCCAGAAAGUUCCAAGACUCUAUCAGGGAUAUAUUUCUAAUUAUUUGGACUUCAUACUCAUGUGAAGUAACUGGAAGUGUGCCUUUUCAUCUAAAGUGAUCCAACAACAUAACCAUAAUUAUUGUACUUUCAAUGUACUUAUGGAGGAGAGGACUCUUAUUAACCAGGUCUUUUCCUGUUUCUUUUGUUGUCCCACUCCCAAGUAUUUUCUUUCAUUUGACAGGAAGAAGUAGAGCAUAUUACUAUGUUUUGCUACCAUCAAGGAAAAUCUGUGGUAGAUUUUCAAAUCAGAAGAAAUUGAUGCAGAUGUUACUCUUAUUGCCAUCACAGUUCACAAUGAACACUCUUCAUUUUAUAAGAAUAAAAACUGGUAGUUCCAGUGCUCUGCAUAAUGAGUGACAAGCACAAAGAAGGUCCCCAAAUAUUGAGUGGAUGGAUGGAUGGAUGGGGAAGUGGUUAAGUAGUUGGCUGGAUCAGUGGAUGGAUGGCUAGAUGUGGUACAUGUUUGGAAGAGCAGAUAGAAGAAUGGAUGGGUGGAGCAGUGAUGGAUGGAUGGAUGGAUGGAUGGAUGGAUGGAUGGAUGGAUGGAUAAGUGGGUAGAUGGGUGGCUGGCUGGAUG